Ribosomal RNA from Pseudogymnoascus pannorum, 1172 nucleotides. It matches the Rfam family "Bacterial large subunit ribosomal RNA", at positions 1675 to 2925 of the family's 2925-position model. The record is from Rfam. Lineage: Eukaryota; Fungi; Ascomycota; Leotiomycetes; Thelebolales; Thelebolaceae.
AGUAUACGAAGGCGUUUGAGUGAACAAUCAUUAAGGAACUCGGCAAACUAACUACCGUAACUUAGGGAUAAGGAGAGCCAUUCCUCCUGAUUAAUAUCAGGUAAAGAAUAGGAAGCAUGGAAUAGUGUUGUACGACUGUUUAAUUAAAACAAAGCACUCUGCAGUAAGAUAAUAAAUCAAAGUAUUGAGUGUGAUUUCUGCCCGAUGUCGGCUGGUUAACGGAUUUGUUAAGUUGACUAAUAUAAGCUUGACUUUGAAGGAAACCCCGAUCAAUGGCGGCCUUAUUUUGAGGGUCCUAAGGUAGCGGAAUACCCUGGCCGUUAAAUGCGGUCUUGCAUGAAUGAUUUAACGAUACAACAGCUGUCUCAAUGAUUGGCUCAGUGAAAUUGGAAUAACUGUGCAGAUACAGUUUACCUCUAGUUAGACGAGAAGACCCUAUGCAGCUUUACUGUUGCUAGUUAUUGGAUAUGAUUGAAUUAAUUUUAGUAGUAUAAGGUAAUUGGUUAGAUAAAAUUGAAAUACCUUUAUUUUGUUUGUCAUAUUGAUAGAUUUAAUCUAUUUUCUUAUUUAAAGAUAGGAAAUUACCCCUACUAUGUUAGGGGAACAAUGGCUAGGAGGCAGUUUAUGCGGGGCACAGAUCCCAUAAAAAGUACCUGGGUGUAUCCAAAGUUAAUUUUGUAAAAUUGACAUGACUUACUUCUAAAUAUAUUAUUUGGAAAUAAGUUUUCAUGACUAACAAUACAUUAUAUAUUUAAUGUAUUUAUUUUUAGUUUGUUAUUUGGUAUAGCUUAUGCUAUAACUAAUCCAGCUAUUUAUCUAUUAAGUUAGAAAUAUUUUUUUAUCCAAGUAAGAUUUUAUCUAUAUGGAAAAUAGAUGUAAUUAAAACAUUGAAGUAGAUAUCUAUCCAAUGUUUUUUAAUUUUUUUAUUAGGUGUAUUUGGUGAAACCAAACUACAAAUUGCUAAUAAGAUAAUUAUGUUUAUUACUUGUCAAGUUUAAUGGCUUAAUCUUGCUUUACUGUUUGACUUACACGUCUAUCAGUCGCGUAAGCGGGGCAUAUGAUCACAAGAUGCAGAAAGGAAAGGUCUUGGAUUUAUGAAAAAGCUACGCUAGGGAUGUUAGUCCUCCAAUGUUUAAGUCUACUAAUAUUUAAUAUUAAUUAGCCUUAAACUC